GACGAACGCUGGCGGCGUGCUUAACACAUGCAAGUCGAACGGAAAGGCCCUGCUUUUGUGGGGUGCUCGAGUGGCGAACGGGUGAGUAACACGUGAGUAACCUGCCCUUGACUUUGGGAUAACUUCAGGAAACUGGGGCUAAUACCGGAUAGGAGCUCCUGCUGCAUGGUGGGGGUUGGAAAGUUUCGGCGGAUGGGGAUGGACUCGCGGCUUAUCAGCUUGUUGGUGGGGUAGUGGCUUACCAAGGCUUUGACGGGUAGCCGGCCUGAGAGGGUGACCGGCCACAUUGGGACUGAGAUACGGCCCAGACUCCUACGGGAGGCAGCAGUGGGGAAUAUUGCACAAUGGGCGGAAGCCUGAUGCAGCAACGCCGCGUGCGGGAUGACGGCCUUCGGGUUGUAAACCGCUUUCGCCUGUGACGAAGCGUGAGUGACAGUAAUGGGUAAAGAAGCACCGGCUAACUACGUG
This 468-nucleotide ribosomal RNA is filed under the name uncultured bacterium. Its description in RNAcentral is "partial 16S ribosomal RNA". It matches the Rfam family "Bacterial small subunit ribosomal RNA", at positions 28 to 507 of the family's 1533-position model. The record is from RNAcentral.